RNAcentral lists this long non-coding RNA (882 nucleotides) under Homo sapiens (human). RNAcentral's name for it is "HSALNT0045511". The record is from RNAcentral. Lineage: Eukaryota; Metazoa; Chordata; Mammalia; Primates; Hominidae.
GAAGUAACAAAUAUUUUAGCUGCCUUAACAACACACAUGUGAGCCAGAGAUUGGGUAUAAACCCCAAGAAAAUUCAUCACCUUAGUGAAGUUUCUGGAGGUCCAGUGGUCUAGAAAACACCAGGAUAUUCUCCCCAACGUAAAAGACAAAUUACUUCACCUUGUACCAUCUACCACUAAGAAAAGAGACACAAUACUUUCUGGGUAUCCUUGGAUUUUAGAGGCAAUAUGUAUCACAUCUGAGUGUGAUGCUGUGACCCAUUUAUAGAGCAACCCAUAAGGCUGGAAUUUUUUAUUAGGAAUAAGGGGAGAAGAAAUAUCUGUAGCAGGACUUGAUGACCCAGAGGAAUCCAAUGAUACUUAAAGUGUCUGUGGCAAAUAAGGAUGCUAUAUAGAGCCUCUGGUGAGCCCUGAUUAGAUCUACAAUGCAGAAUUCCUUAGUUGUAGAGCAAGUCAUGCCCUCUUCUGCAGAUAACAAUUUUCUAUUUGAGGAAUGGUCCCUAGCUUGCUAAGUGAAUUUGAAUGACUGGCCAUGAGACAAUCAAGUGACUGCAAGCUCAGCUGCCCAUUAUGAACUGAGUGUAAUCUAAUCUACCAAUCCAUAAGACCAGACAUACACAAGAGGAAUUCCUCAUCAAAUGGAAAUGAAAAAUCAGAUUCAUCAAGUGACUCUUCAGUCAACAACUGUUCAAGAACGCUGUUAACAUCACGUGUAGGAAUGCUACGUUUUCUAGAAUUUGACAUUUUCAGCAAUCGAGAAUUACUAUAUUUUGUAAACAGAAAUGCCACUACUAGAAACAGAAUGCUAUAAAUAGAAUGACGUCUUUUGUUUUCAAGGUCAAUAUGUCAGAGCGAUGCAAAAAUAAUAAAAGUGAGAUAUUUC